CUCCACAGCGUUCACUGCUAUGUAUGGAACGGAGUAUAGUGUACUAGAAUAAUGUAGGACGGGGUAAAGCACUCUGUUCCUUGCUUUUCACGCCCGAGCGUACAUCUCGCCGGUUGGCGGCAUUAUGUGCGUCGCCGCGAGGGAAGCGCACGUCGGAGUAGGAAGGCGCCUGGAGGCUGGUGUCCUCUUGCGGGGAUGGUGAAAGUUGCCUGCGGUGGAGGACCAGAUGUUCGACCGUUUAGGUGUGUUGCCCACAUCCUACAUGCCGCCACUGUCCGUCUCGGGUGAAACCGAAGCAUUGGCCGUAUACGAGUGUUCUCAGCGCUCCUGCACGGGCUUCAAAGAGCACAGUGUUGCCACCACCGUUGUCAUGUACAGACUCCAUGGCGAUUUCUCCCUCGUGGGGAUGGUAAAGUGCAAGUGUUGUUUU
Dermacentor albipictus is the source of this 430-nucleotide long non-coding RNA. RefSeq lists it as uncharacterized. The record is from RefSeq and is a predicted model, not a curated record. NCBI's taxonomy places the organism in Eukaryota, Metazoa, Arthropoda, Arachnida, Ixodida, Ixodidae.